AGCUUUGCACAGUGGCAGUAUCAUAGCCAAUGAGGUUUAACUGAAGUGUGAUUAUUGCUAAUUGAAACAAUUUGUUCAGCUAUUCUCCAAUUGAUGGCAAUCCCUUCAAUUUUCAAUUCUUUACCAUCACAAAAAGAGCAGCUAUAAAUAUUUUUGUACAAGUAGGUCUUUU
This 172-nucleotide small nuclear RNA is filed under the name Monodelphis domestica (gray short-tailed opossum). Its description in RNAcentral is "U4 spliceosomal RNA (ENSMODG00000026558.2)". The stretch from base 1 to 137 matches the Rfam family "U4 spliceosomal RNA". From Rfam's summary of the family: U4 small nuclear RNA (U4 snRNA) is a component of the major U2-dependent spliceosome. The structure of U4 snRNA from yeast and human has been reported. U4 snRNA presents a k-turn RNA motif in the 5p-SL related to recognition of Snu13 protein. Lineage: Eukaryota; Metazoa; Chordata; Mammalia; Didelphimorphia; Didelphidae. The record is from RNAcentral.